UGAGGAAUAUUGCGCAAUGGGGGCAACCCUGACGCAGCGACGCCGCGUGAGUGAGGAAGGCCUUCGGGUCGUAAAGCUCUGUCAAAGGGAAAGAAGUGCAUGGUGGCUAAUACCUGCCAUGUUUGACGGUACCCUUAAAGGAAGCACCGGCUAACUCCGUGCCAGCAGCCGCGGUAAUACGGAGGGUGCAAGCGUUGUUCGGAAUCACUGGGCGUAAAGGGCGCGUAGGCGGUUUGAUAAGUCAGAUGUGAAAGCCCUGGGCUUAACCCAGGAAGUGCAUUUGAUACUGCCUCGCUAGAGUACGGGAGAGGAAAGUGGAAUUCCUGGUGUAGAGGUGAAAUUCGUAGAUAUCAGGAGGAACACCGGUGGCGAAGGCGACUUUCUGGCCCGAUACUGACGCUCAGGCGCGAAAGCGUGGGGAGCAAACA
This 428-nucleotide ribosomal RNA is filed under the name uncultured prokaryote. RNAcentral describes it as "bacterial SSU rRNA". It matches the Rfam family "Bacterial small subunit ribosomal RNA", at positions 355 to 774 of the family's 1533-position model. The record is from RNAcentral.